RNAcentral lists this small RNA (815 nucleotides) under Pan troglodytes (chimpanzee). RNAcentral's name for it is "processed transcript". The record is from RNAcentral. Lineage: Eukaryota; Metazoa; Chordata; Mammalia; Primates; Hominidae.
GUGCCCAGUGGUGAUGCCCAGGAGAGGGAAUGGAAACCUGGAGCUGGGAGCGAGGUUGGAGCUGUAAGAUCCAAGACCCAGGGAGACAAGAGGACCCUGGGGACAAAUAGGAACAGCUGAGCAAGGCAAGACUGAACCCCGGGCGGGCGGGUUGGGGGAACAUGCCUAGCUAGAGGGCGGCAGCAGGAAAGCAGAGAAGGCAUCCCUGCAGGUUGGCCCUGGGGCAGAGUGCUGGAUCCCAGCAACGGACAAGUUAGUUAACUUAAAGGGGGGCAUCCUCAAGGCAGUAAACUGGAGCCAAGUGGGUUAAAUCCUUCUUGCUGCUAUUAAGGGGAGGAGACAGGUUUCUGCAGACUCUACAUUUUGGAGAGAAACAGAAAAGAAUGUCCCCAAGUCUCCUUUGCCCUGCGAUGCUGGGGCAGAUUGGCAAGGUCCCAAGAGAAGCACAAUGGUAACCGACGCUGCCCUUGGCUGAACUUCUUCUGUUAAAUCCUUCGGAUGGAUGCUGGAAUCGACCUUGAUCUCUAGUUCGACUCCCGUGCAACGUGUUGAGGAGGAGCCACCUCCUCCAAGCACCUAAAGCCGACCCAGAAACGCCUCCCAAUCCCUCCACACCGCGGCUCCCGGGAUCCGAAGCUGGGGAGCUGCUUCUGUCCAAUCAGGCUUUGUAUCCCGGGACGCUUCCGGUUAUGGCGUCAUUAUGCAGCCAGGGAUGAGACAGGAGCCUAUCUGAUUGACAGAGACCCCACCUACUUUGGUCCUAUCCUCAACUACCUCCGCCACGGGAAACUAAUCAUCACUAAGGAGUUGGCAGA